UGGGGAAUAUUGCACAAUGGGCGCAAGCCUGAUGCAGCCAUGCCGCGUGUAUGAAGAAGGCCUUCGGGUUGUAAAGUACUUUCAGCGGGGAGGAAGGUGUUGUGGUUAAUAACCACAGCAAUUGACGUUACCCGCAGAAGAAGCACCGGCUAACUCCGUGCCAGCAGCCGCGGUAAUACGGAGGGUGCAAGCGUUAAUCGGAAUUACUGGGCGUAAAGCGCACGCAGGCGGUCUGUCAAGUCGGAUGUGAAAUCCCCGGGCUCAACCUGGGAACUGCAUUCGAAACUGGCAGGCUAGAGUCUUGUAGAGGGGGGUAGAAUUCCAGGUGUAGCGGUGAAAUGCGUAGAGAUCUGGAGGAAUACCGGUGGCGAAGGCGGCCCCCUGGACAAAAACUGACGCUCAGGUGCGAAAGCGUGGGGGAGCAAACAGGAUUAGAUACCCUGGUAGUCCACGCCGUAAACGAUGUCGACUUGGAGGUUGUGCCCUUGAGGCGUGGCUUCCGGAGCUAACGCGUUAAGUCGACCGCCUGGGGAGUACGGCCGCAAGGUUA
RNAcentral lists this ribosomal RNA (550 nucleotides) under uncultured bacterium. RNAcentral's name for it is "bacterial SSU rRNA". It matches the Rfam family "Bacterial small subunit ribosomal RNA", at positions 355 to 896 of the family's 1533-position model. The record is from RNAcentral.